AUGUCGUCGUGGGCGCAGCACUCGCGGCGGGGCUGGAGGCACGGCUGGGCGGCGACGCUGCCGCCGUGGCGCCUGCUGGCCUUCUUCGCCAUCGUGGUCUCCUUCCUGGCCACCUCCUCCUACGUCGACUACCGGGCCGUGGAGCGCCGUGCCGAGAUCGGGGCACGCGUCUUCGCCGCGCCGCUCGCCGCCAUGGCCGCCUUCCUCCUCUUCGCCGCGCUCGGGUACUGGCGCCGCCGUACCCGCUGGGCGCUCCGACGCCACGCCAUUAACGCCCAGCCGGCCGUGGCACCGUCGCAGUCGUCGGGGGCGUCUCCGUGGGGCGUGGCGGCGAUGGUGGCGGUGCUGCUGGUGAUGGUGACGUUCCAGCCCUCCGUGCACUCCAUGUGGUUCAGGCCGCUCUGGAGUUCAGACUACAGCUAG
This 423-nucleotide ribosomal RNA is filed under the name Triticum aestivum (bread wheat). RNAcentral describes it as "partial small subunit ribosomal RNA". Lineage: Eukaryota; Viridiplantae; Streptophyta; Magnoliopsida; Poales; Poaceae. The record is from RNAcentral.